Molecule: long non-coding RNA, 5337 nt
Organism: Populus nigra (black poplar)
Lineage: Eukaryota; Viridiplantae; Streptophyta; Magnoliopsida; Malpighiales; Salicaceae
Exons: 2
Source: RefSeq, a predicted model, not a curated record
GAAUUCAUAAAAUAAAUAAAUAGAUACAAAUACAAUAAUCCUAGCCGUUCAAUUACUACCUUCACGAAAAUCUUAAUCUCUCCGAGAAAAAGAAAAAGAGGGUGAGAGACAGAGAGCAACAAAAUCAGAUAGCAAUUAACAAAACCCUAGAUUACAAUGGACCGCUCCUUCAAACACACCCGUGACGACCGUGAUCGUGACCACCACAAACACCGAUCAAGAGACGAUAAGCAUCGAGACUCCUCCGAUUCUCACCACCACCGAUCAGAGAGAGAAUCUCACCAACGCGAGCAUCACAAAUCAUCCAGGCGCGAUGAUACAAAGCGCGAAAGAUCUCACGAACGAGAAGAGAGUGUGGAUAGGCGAGAGAGAUCUUACGAUCACAAAUCGUCUUCCUCAUCGAGGCGUGAGGAGAGAGAGAGGUCGUAUGAUGCGAGAGAGAAGGGAGUAGAGAGAGAAAACGCGAGAAGAGAGAAAGAGAGACUGUAGAUGAAGAUUAUUUGGAGAGAAAGAAAAGAAAGGAGAGAGGAGGUAGUGAGGAUAGGGCUGUUGUUGAGAAGGAGAAGAGGAGUAGAAGAAGAUUUGGUGAAAAAGUGAAAGAAGAGGAUAAUAGGACUGACAGCAAUGAUAAUGGUAAUAGUUUUGAGAAUGUGAAGAGAGUGGAUUCGAGUGAGGCUGGAGUGAAGGAGGAAGGCAAUGAUGAGCCAAUUGGUGGCGGCAGGGGCAGCACCACAGAAAACGGUGGAGUUUCGACUACAAAUGUGGGGAGCGGCGAGAUGGGAUUAGUGGUUCGUCACAGUAUUUGAUAUAGCUCUGUUAAGUUUAUGCCUGAAGCAGAAAAUUGGGUUAUGCAAUUUCCUGUGUGGUCUGUGUGUGAUUUGGAGGUGGACUGGGAGUGGGGUUAUGUCCGGUACCAUGCUUGCUUUUGCUGGCUUGUUAUAGUUGAAUAUGGUGUGCAUGAUGGCGGUUACUGAUUUUUGUACAGGUUUUGCUUUUGCUGUGUUUCUUAUUAUGUGUAUGUUUGUCACAGCUAUAAGCUAUUUUAUUUCUUGUUACGUCUCAUGUAUGAUUGACUGGGACUGUUAUUGUGUGUUUCUAUGCAUGUAAUAUGAGAAUGGAGGUGUUGUAAUGGAUAAUUUGUGGUUUUUUAAUUGUAAGAUGAUUAGUAUCUGUGCUUUGUUAGAAAUUGAAAAUUUAGCGAUUAUUUGGCUCAUGUUGAUAUUUAUAUGUUUCAAGUUACAUGGUUCUGUAGGAAAAGUAGAGGUCAAUUUUAGUGCUAAUUAAAUGAUGGUAGACAUAGAGUGCUCGUGGCAUAUGUGGUUUGGCAAGUAGUGUUCUUAAUUUUCUUAUAUAGAGGUUGUGUAAAGUGAAAGCUGGUAAGUGAAAUUUUAUUUCCUUUGGGUGCAAUAUUUGCUUUCAGAGAAAUGCUGUUUCAUCACUUUUACAUUGCUAGUCAUGUCGUUCUUGAUGUUGUGGGCAUUUUGGUGACUCUUAAUGCAUUGCUCAUGUAAGUGUCCCUUGCAUUGUAAAACCAUCCCCACAUCGAAAACAAAAAAGAACUGCCAGGUCAGUCUUGUCUAUAAAUAGGGGUCCGCUACCACCCGUCUCAUUAUGAGACAAAGCCACAUAGCAGCGCACUACAGGUAAGUCUCUCUACUAGAUACUUCAUUUUCAUUUAAUUACUAGAAAAAAUAAAAUACCUUCAUUUUCAUUUAAUUACUGGAAAAAAUAAAAUACCUGCCUAUAAUGCUUGACACUUGGAGAAGAAGACAAAUUAAUUAGGAGAUAAUAACAAUUUGUUUUUAUAUUUGUUUGUUGUGAUCUGCUAGUCACAUGUUCAUUCCAAUAAUGAUAUAUAUAACCAUGAUUUGUGUGUGAAAUUAUGAUAUGUUUUUUAAAUUUUAAUAAGAAAUAAAAACUAAUCAAUUAGUAGAAUAUUUGUAUAAUUUGGUUAAUAAAUACGAUCCCUUGAGUUUGUCAAACAAUACUAUGCUUAGCUUGUUUUUUUCUACAUGUUAUCUUCUAUUUGCCUGUCUUGAUAAGAAGAUUAAUCUUCUUGUAUUAAUUAGCAAAAAAGUCAUUAGUGGUGAUACUAAUUAAGUGUCUUUAUCUUUAGAAUUCUUUUUCUAUUUUUACUGGUGUUUUUUGCAGUAUUCUUCAAAAUGAAAGGUACCAGAUUUCAUUAAGAAUUUUGCGAAAUCAAACGCAUUUGUUGAUAUUUUUUUUACCUUUAUUUUCAAUAAUUCUUCUUUUUUUUGUUAAAUUUCAUUGAGUUUAUUUCAUUAAAUAUUUCAGGAAAAGGGAUAUAUGGAAUAGUUUUUUUAUGUAGAUAUAAAUUGAAUGGACAAAUGUAUGCUGUGAAGAUCGUAAAAUUUAAUAAAGAUCAUGAUUAAGAUAAAGUGUUGAGAGAAGUGAAAGCGUUGGCCAAAUGUAACCACAAUAAUGUGGUAGGGUAUUUCACUGCAUGGAUUGAAUUGAGGGUGGUGUGGUCUUCUGAUGAAGAUGAAGGUUGUGAUGAAAAAGUUGGUUGUGAUGAUGCUACUCUUAAAGAUCCGGAUGCUAUGCUUUUUAAUUUUCAUAUAGAUGAAGCAUUGUCAUCAGUAAAUAAAUUUUUAAUAGUUAAAUUGUUAAGUUUUGUUUUAAAAUAGAUAGUCAAGAUUUCUAUAGAAGAGUAAGCUUGUUAGAAUAAAGAACUACUAUUUUAAAACAAAACUUAACAGUUUAACUAUUAAAAAUUUACUUACUGAUGACAAUGCUCUAUCUGUAUGAAAAGCAUAGCAUCCGGAUCCUUAGGAGGAGCACCAUCACCACCUUUUUUUUCAUCAUAACCUCCAUCUUGAUCAAAAAACCGCACCACCUUCCAUUCAAUCCAUGUAGUGAAAUACCUUACCACAUUGUUGUGGUUACAUUUAGCCAAUGUUUUUACUUUUCUUAACACUUUAUCUUGAUCAUGAUCUUUAUUAAAUUUUACAAUUUUCACAGCAUAUAAUUGUCCAUUUAAUUUAUGUCUGCAUAAAAAAACUAUUGCAUAUACCCCUUUUCCUGAAAUAUUUAAUGAAAUAAACCCAAUGAAAUUUAACAAAAGAAAAUAAAGUAUUAUUGAAAAUAAAGGUGAAAAAAAUACCAACCAAUGCGUUUGAUUUCGCAAAAUUCUUGAUGAAAUCUGGUACCUUUUAUUUUGAAAGAUAUUGCAAAAAACACCAGCAAAAACAGAGAAAGAAUCCUAAAGAUAAAGGCACUUAAUUAGUAUCACUACUAAUGACUUUUCUGCUAAUUAAUAUAAGAAGAAUCUUUUUAUCAAGAAACGCAAACAGAAGAUAAUAUGUAGAAUAAAACAAGCUAAGCAUGAUAUUAUUUGGCAAACUCAAGGGAUCGUAUUUAUUGAUCAAAUUAUACAGAUAUUCUACUAAUUGAUUAGUUUUUAUUUCUGAUUAAAAUUUAAAAAACAUAUCAUAAUUUCACAUAUAAAUCAUGGUUAUAUAUAUAUAUAUAUAUAUAUAUAUAUAUAUCACAACAAAAAAAUAUAAAAACAAACUGUCAUUAUCUCCUAAUUAAUUUGUCUUCUUCUCCAAGUGUCAAGGCAUUAACAGCAGGUAUUUUAUUUUUUCAGUAAUUAAAUGAAGUAUCUAGUAGAAAAAUAAUCCUCUUAUCAGGAAAAGAUAAUCAAGAUGAUGUAGAAUAACACAAGCUCAACAUAGUGAGAAUACUAAUAUUGUUUGGCAAACUUAAUGUAGCAUAUUUAUUGAUCAAAUUAUUCAGAUAGCAACAUUAGUUGUGGAAAGAAACAUGAAAAAAACCAUCAUUAGGUUCUAAACAUAAACAAAUUAUCCUAAUUGCUUAGUCUUUGUUUUUUAUUAGAAUUUCAAAAACAUAUCAUAAUUUUAUAAAGAAACCAUGGUUGUAUACAUUAAUCCAAGUCAAUUCAUUGUUGGUGGAAUGAACAAAGUGAAUACAAAAAACAUAUCACUACCAAAUCACAACAAAUAAAAGAUGAAGGAGAAUAGGAAUGAAAAAAUUGCAUGAACAAUGCCAAUGGGUGUUGGAGCACAGUUGAUGAACAGUCCUGGUCAUUGCUAAUUGGAAAUUAGUAAUGGUAAUUAAUUAAUUAAUUUUGCAACCUCCUGAUUAAUUUGUCUUCUCUAAGUGUCAAAGGGGAAUAAAGACACUGACACUAGUUACUAUAUUCAAACUAAGCUUUCCUUCAAUUUUAUUUUCGUUUCACAUUCCUUGUCAUAGGUAUUUUCACAGGUAAAGAAGGAGAAAAAAAAACAAAAAACGAAGCAGAAAAAGAAUGAAUAAAUUGCAUGAGCAAUGCAAAGGGUCUUGGAGCACGGUUCAUGAACAAUCCUGGUCAUUACUAAUUGGAAAUUGGUAAUGGUAAUUAAUUAAUUUUGCAGGCUCCUGAUUGUCUUCUCCAAGUGUCAAGCAAACAUUGGGAAUAAAGACAGUGACGCUGCUCACUGUAUUCAACCUAAGCUUUUCUUCAAUUCUUUUUUUUCACAUUCCCUGUCACAGGUCUUUUCAUAGGUAAAAAGAAGGAGAAAAACAACAAAAGAUGAUAGAGAAAAAGAAUGAACAAAUUGCAUGAGUAAAUGCUAAUAGGUGUUGGAGCAUAGUUUAUGAACAGUCCUGAUCAUUGCUGAUUGGAAAUUGGCAAUGGUAAUUAAUUAAUUUUGCAGCUCUUUAAGUGUCAAGGCAACAGAGGGAAUGAAGUCAGUGACGCUACUCACUGUAUUUAAACGAAGCUUUCCUUCCUUACUUUUUAAUUUCUUCACAUUUCCUGUCGCAAGCCUUUUCACAGGUAAAGAAGAAAAAGAAAAACAACAAAAGAUGAAUGAGGAAAAAAUGAACAAAUUGCAUGAGCAAUGCCAAUGGGUGUUGGAGCACAGUUGAUGAACAGUCCUGGUCAUUGCUAAUUGGAAAUUGGUAAUGGUAAUAAUUAAAUAAAUAAUUUUGCAGGCUCCUAAUUAUUUUGUCUUCUCCACGUGUGAAGACAAUGGAGGGAAUGAAGUUAGGGACGCUAUUUACUGUAUCCAAACAAAGAUUUCCUUUAUUUUUAUUUUAUUUUCACAUUCACUGUCACAAGUCUUUUCACAUGUAAAGAGGAAGAGUCCUCUCUCUUCUUUUCAUGUCACAUGUAAAAAAAAGCAUAUAACCCCCCAGUGAGAGUUGAUUGCUCCAGUGGAUGGUCAAGAUUCCUGUGGAAGAGUAAGCUUGUUAGACUAUUAAAAAUUUAUGUACAAACAAUAAUGUUUCAUGUGGAUGAAUAGCAUAGCAUUUGAAUUCUAAUGAGAAUUCUAACGAGGAGCACAAUCAUUGCCUCGUUCUUCGUAGUAA